RNAcentral lists this ribosomal RNA (408 nucleotides) under uncultured bacterium. RNAcentral describes it as "partial 16S ribosomal RNA". It matches the Rfam family "Bacterial small subunit ribosomal RNA", at positions 28 to 526 of the family's 1533-position model. The record is from RNAcentral.
GACGAACGCUGGCGGCGUGCUUAACACAUGCAAGUCGAACGAAGUGGCGAACGGGUGAGUAACGCGUAAUCAACCUGCCCUUCAGAGGGGGACAAAAGUUGGAAACGACUGCUAAUACCGCAUACUGAAGGAGGGGAUUGCGUCUGAUUAGCUAGUUGGCGGGGUAACGGCCCACCAAGGCGAUGAUCAGUAGGCGGUCUGAUAGGGGGAACCGCCACAACGGGACUGGGACACGGCCCAGGUCCCUACGGGAAGGAGCAGUGGGGAAUAUUGCCAAAUGGGCGCAAGCCGGAGGCAGCCAUGGCGCGGUUAUGAAGAAGGCCUUCGGGUUGUGAAGCUUUGUUAAUCGGGACGCGGUACCGGAUUAGAAAGCCACGGCUAACUACGUGCCAGCCGCCGCGGUAAUAC